GAUAAGGUGACCAAGUGGUUAAGGUGAUGAACUACUAAUCUAUUGUGCUCUGCACACAUGGGUUCAAAUCCCAUUCUUGUCA
This is a non-coding RNA of Emys orbicularis (European pond turtle), 82 nucleotides long. NCBI's taxonomy places the organism in Eukaryota, Metazoa, Chordata, Testudines, Emydidae. The record is from the annotation of a RefSeq genome assembly.